CUCAAAGAUUAAGCCAUGCAUGUAUCAGUACACCGCCUUGACAAGGUGAAACCGCGAACGGCUCAUUAUAACAGCUACAAUUUACUAGACCUUGAGCAGUUACCCGGAUAACUGUGGUAAUUCUAGAGCUAAUACGUGCACCGAAGUUGUCCCUCACGGGGCAAUGCAUUUAUUUGAGCAAAACCAGGCGGCUUCGGCCGUUGCUGUUGAAUCAGAAUAACUAAGCUGAUCGUAUGGGCUUGUCCCGACGACGUGUCUUUCAAGUGUCUGCCUUAUCAACUUUCGAUGGUAGUGUACGUGACUACCAUGGUGUUGACGGGUAACGGAGGAUAAGGGUUCGACUCCGGAGAAGGGGCCUGAGAAAUGGCCACUACGUCUAAGGAUGGCAGCAGGCGCGCAAAUUACCCACUCUCGGUUCGAGGAGGUAGUGACGAAAAAUAACAAGGCCGUUCUCUUUGAGGCCGGCCAUUGGAAUGGGUACAAUCUAAACCCUUUAACGAGUAUCAAUGAGAGGGCAAGUCUGGUGCCAGCAGCCGCGGUAAUUCCAGCUCUCAAAAUGCAUAGAAUCAUUGCUGCGGUUAAAAAGCUCGUAGUUGGAUCUGUGCUGGCGACGUGGUCUGCCCUCGCGGGUGGUACUGCGCUCGUCGGCUUUGGGCCGGUCUCCGGCCGGUGGCCUUCACUGGUCGUCGUUCGUGGCUGGCUGGUUUACUUUGAGCAAAUCAGAGUGCUCAGCACAGGCGUCUCGCCGGAAUGUUCGUGCAUGGAAUAAUGGAAAAGGAUUUCGGUCCUCUUUUAUUGGUUUUGUGGACUGAGAUAAUGGUUAACAGAGACGGACGGGGGCAUUCGUAUUGCUGCGUGAGAGGUGAAAUUCUUGGACCGCAGCAGGACGGACUACAGCGAAAGCAUUUGCCAAGCACCGUCUUCAUUAAUCAAGAACGAAAGUCAGAGGUUCGAAGGCGAUCAGAUACCGCCCUAGUUCUGGCCGUAAACGAUGCCAGCUAGCGAUCCGCCGAUGGCCUCUCGGCCUUGGUGGGGAGCUUCCCGGAAACGAAAGUCUUCCGGUUCCGGGGGAAGUAUGGUUGCAAAGCUGUAACUUAAAGGAAUUGACGGAAGGGCACCACCAGGAGUGGAGCCUGCGGCUUAAUUUGACUCAACACGGGAAAACUCACCCGGCCCGGACACCGUAAGGAUUGACAGAUUGAUAGCUUUUUCAUGAUUCGGUGGUUGGUGGUGCAUGGCCGUUCUUAGUUCGUGGAUCGAUUUGUCUGGUUUAUUCCGAUAACGAGCGAGACUCUAGCCUACUAACUAGUGCGCGCAUUGCCGCUGUGCGUGUCACUUCUUAGAGGGAUUGGCUGCGUUUAGCAGCACGAAAUUGAGCAAUAACAGGUCUGUGAUGCCCUUAGAUGUCCGGGGCUGCACGCGCGCUACACUGGCAAAGGCAGCGUGCUUGUCCGUCUCCGAAAGGAGUCGGUAAACCCUUGAAAAUUUGCCGUGAUUGGGAUCGGAAAUUGCAAUUAUUUUCCGUGAACGAGGAAUUCCAAGUAAGUGCGAGUCAUCAGCUCGCGUUGAUUACGUCCCUGCCCUUUGUACACACCGCCCGUCGCUGCCUAGAACUGAGCCAUUUCGAGAAUAUUCGGGAUCGCUGGUCUUCGCCUCUCGGGGUGUUGGCCGGCACGAGAACGAACGUAAUCGCAGUGGCUUGAACCGGGC
Molecule: ribosomal RNA, 1710 nt
Rfam family: Eukaryotic small subunit ribosomal RNA